Molecule: non-coding RNA, 29 nt
Filed under: Cricetulus griseus (Chinese hamster)
Lineage: Eukaryota; Metazoa; Chordata; Mammalia; Rodentia; Cricetidae
Source: RNAcentral
ACUGUGGAGGAAGGAUUGUAAAAAAUGCC